Nitrospira japonica is the source of this 227-nucleotide regulatory RNA element. It matches the Rfam family "T-box leader". Rfam says of the family: Uncharged tRNA acts as the effector for transcription antitermination of genes in the T-box leader family. T-boxes are found upstream of many aminoacyl-tRNA synthetase genes and some amino acid biosynthetic genes usually in Gram-positive bacteria. The record is from Rfam. Lineage: Bacteria; Pseudomonadati; Nitrospirota; Nitrospiria; Nitrospirales; Nitrospiraceae.
UCUAGGGCGACGACGAGGAGUAGUAGGUCAUUCGUCGAAUCAAGAGAGCUGGUGGGUGGUGCAAACCAGUUUCGACGACGCCGAACUCGCCUCCGAGCCAGAGUCCAUGAAACACGAGUAGUGGAUUCCGCCUGGCCCCGUAAGGGCUGAAUGAAGGAUCUGGAUAAACAGUAUCCGGGUCGAAUCAGGGUGGUACCACGAAGCGCCUCAAAGCCUUCGUCCCUGGG